RNAcentral lists this ribosomal RNA (774 nucleotides) under uncultured Neocallimastigales. Its description in RNAcentral is "partial large subunit ribosomal RNA". It matches the Rfam family "Eukaryotic large subunit ribosomal RNA", at positions 26 to 629 of the family's 3401-position model. Lineage: Eukaryota; Fungi; Neocallimastigomycota; Neocallimastigomycetes; Neocallimastigales. The record is from RNAcentral.
CGCAUCUGUGCAUGCAGUAUAUCAAUAAGCGGAGGAAAAGAAACUAACAAGGAUUCCCUUAGUAACGGCGAGUGAAGCGGGAAGAGCUCAAAUUUGAAAUCUUCAAGGUUUUACCUUGACGAAUUGUAGUUUAAAGAAGUGUUUUCUGUUGAAGUUUUGGUAAAAGUUCUUUGGAAUAGGACAUCAUAGAGGGUGAGAAUCCCGUAUUUGACCAUUAUUUUCAGCUGUGUGAUACACUUUCAAAGAGUCGGAUUGUUUGGGAAUGCAGUCCAAAAUGGGUGGUAAAUUUCAUCUAAAGCUAAAUAUUGGCGAGAGACCGAUAGCGAACAAGUACCGUGAGGGAAAGAUGAAAAGAACUUUGAAAAGAGAGUUAAACAGUACGUGAAAUUGUCAAAAGGGAAGCGUUUGACACCAGUGUUGUUUUCUCGAAAAUCAAUUAAAAAGAGUUAGAUUUUGUUGUGUAUUGACCUUAACAGCUUGCAUUUCAAUUUUCUUGCUUUUUUUAAUGCACUUUUCGUUUAACAAGUCAACAUCAGUUUCUUUUGUUGUAAAAAGGUCAUUGGAAGGUGGCUUUCUUUUCGGAGAAAGUGUUUAUAGCCUUUGACUCCUGCAAUCGGAGAGACCGAGGUCUGCAGCGUAGAUCCUUCGGGGUUAGAUACAUUUGUGCUAAGUUAUAGCUUUUUAUAGACAACUUGUUGACUAUGAUUAGUCUUGUAGCUUACUCGCUUAUGCUAUUUUACCUACGCUUAGGAUGUUGAUGUGAUACUGCGAGCA